CCUACGUGAGGCAGCAGUGAGGAAUAUUGGUCAAUGGGCGCGAGCCUGAACCAGCCAAGUAGCGUGAAGGAUGACUGCCCUACGGGUUGUAAACUUCUUUUUUAAAGGAAUAAAGUGAGGCUCGUGUGCCUUUUUGUAUGUACUUUAUGAAUAAGGAUCGGCUAACUCCGUGCCAGCAGCCGCGGUAAUACGGAGGAUCCGAGCGUUAUCCGGAUUUAUUGGGUUUAAAGGGAGCGUAGAUGGGUUGUUAAGUCAGUUGUGAAAGUUUGCGGCUCAAACGUAAAAUUGCAAUUGAUACUGGCAGUCUUGAGUACAGUUGAGGUAGGCGGAAUUCGUGGUGUAGCGGUGAAAUGCUUAGAUAUCACGAAGAACUCCGAUUGCGAAGGCAGCUUACUAAACUGCCACUGACAUUGAUGCUCGAAAGUGUGGGUAUCAAACAGGAUUAGAUACCCUUGUAGUC
This 460-nucleotide ribosomal RNA is filed under the name uncultured bacterium. RNAcentral describes it as "partial 16S ribosomal RNA". It matches the Rfam family "Bacterial small subunit ribosomal RNA", at positions 338 to 795 of the family's 1533-position model. The record is from RNAcentral.